Non-coding RNA from Drosophila yakuba, 67 nucleotides. NCBI's taxonomy places the organism in Eukaryota, Metazoa, Arthropoda, Insecta, Diptera, Drosophilidae. The record is from Rfam.
GCUUCGGUUCGUCCCAGGAGCAAUUCUGCACUAUUAAAGCUAGUAUUGCACUUGAGACGGCCGGAUU